This 453-nucleotide ribosomal RNA is filed under the name uncultured soil bacterium. Its description in RNAcentral is "bacterial SSU rRNA". It matches the Rfam family "Bacterial small subunit ribosomal RNA", at positions 26 to 482 of the family's 1533-position model. The record is from RNAcentral.
AGAUUGAACGCUGGCGGCAGGCCUAACACAUGCAAGUCGAGCGGUAGAGAGGUGCUUGCACCUCUUGAGAGCGGCGGACGGGUGAGUAAUGCCUAGGAAUCUGCCUAGUGGUGGGGGAUAACGUUCGGAAACGGACGCUAAUACCGCAUACGUCCUACGGGAGAAAGCGGGGGACCUUCGGGCCUCGCGCCAUUAGAUGAGCCUAGGUCGGAUUAGCUAGUUGGUGAGGUAAUGGCUCACCAAGGCGACGAUCCGUAACUGGUCUGAGAGGAUGAUCAGUCACGCUGGGACUGAGACACGGCCCAGACUCCUACGGGAGGCAGCAGUGGGAAUUUGGACAAUGGGGAACCCUGGAUCCAGCCAUCCCGCGUGUGCGAUGAAGGCCUUGGGUUAGUAAGCGACUUUUGGCGAGGAAGAACGGCGUACCCUAAGUACGGCGUCGACGUGACGUAC